This 512-nucleotide ribosomal RNA is filed under the name uncultured bacterium. RNAcentral describes it as "partial 16S ribosomal RNA". It matches the Rfam family "Bacterial small subunit ribosomal RNA", at positions 28 to 507 of the family's 1533-position model. The record is from RNAcentral.
GAUGAACGCUGGCGGCGUGCCUAAUACAUGCAAGUCGAACGAAACUUCUUUAUCACCGAGUGCUUGCACUCACCGAUAAAGAGUUGAGUGGCGAACGGGUGAGUAACACGUGGGCAACCUGCCCAAAAGAGGGGGAUAACACUUGGAAACAGGUGCUAAUACCGCAUAACCAUAGUUACCGCAUGGUAACUAUGUAAAAGGUGGCUAUACUACCGCUUUUGGAUGGGCCCGCGGCGCAUUAGCUAGUUGGUAGGGUAAAGGCUUACCAAGGCAAUGAUGCGUAGCCGAACUGAGAGGUUGAUCGGCCACAUUGGGACUGAGACACGGCCCAAACUCCUACGGGAGGCAGCAGUAGGGAAUCUUCCACAAUGGGCGAAAGCCUGAUGGAGCAACGCCGCGUGGGUGAAGAAGGUCUUCGGAUCGUAAAACCCUGUUGUUAGAGAAGAAAGUGCGUGAGAGUAACUGUUCACGUUUCGACGGUAUCUAACCAGAAAGCCACGGCUAACUACGUG